GACGUAGGGCGCGAGCGUUGUCCGGAUUUAUUGGGCGUAAAGAGCUCGUAGGCGGCUUGUUGCGUCAGCUGUGAAAACCCGCAGCUCAACUGUGGGCUUGCAGCUGAUACGGGCAGGCUUGAGUUCGGUAGGGGAGACUGGAAUUCCUGGUGUAGCGGUGAAAUGCGUAGAUAUCGAGAGGAACACCAGUGGCGAAGGCGAGUCCCUGGACAACACCUGACACUGAGGCACGAAAGCUAGGGGAGCAAACAGG
RNAcentral lists this ribosomal RNA (253 nucleotides) under uncultured bacterium. RNAcentral describes it as "partial 16S ribosomal RNA". It matches the Rfam family "Bacterial small subunit ribosomal RNA", at positions 524 to 776 of the family's 1533-position model. The record is from RNAcentral.